Molecule: ribosomal RNA, 427 nt
Filed under: uncultured bacterium
Lineage: Bacteria
Description: partial 16S ribosomal RNA
Rfam family: Bacterial small subunit ribosomal RNA
Source: RNAcentral
UGGGGAAUAUUGCACAAUGGGCGCAAGCCUGAUGCAGCCAUGCCGCGUGUAUGAAGAAGACCUUCGGGUUGUAAAGUACUUUCAGCGGGGAGGAAGGCGAUAAGGUUAAUAACCUUGUCGAUUGACGUUACCCGCAGAAGAAGCACCGGCUAACUCCGUGCCAGCAGCCGCGGUAAUACGGAGGGUGCAAGCGUUAAUCGGAAUUACUGGGCGUAAAGCGCACGCAGGCGGUCUGUCAAGUCGGAUGUGAAAUCCCCGGGCUGAACCUGGGAACUGCAUUCGAAACUGGCAGGCUAGAGUCUUGUAGAGGGGGGUAGAAUUCCAGGUGUAGCGGUGAAAUGCGUAGAGAUCUGGAGGAAUACCGGUGGCGAAGGCGGCCCCCUGGACAAAGACUGACGCUCAGGUGCGAAAGCGUGGGGAGCAAACA